UGCAGCAGCAGGAUAACAGACUGUG
This 25-nucleotide unclassified non-coding RNA is filed under the name Mus musculus (house mouse). RNAcentral describes it as "oocyte_clustered_small_RNA80". Lineage: Eukaryota; Metazoa; Chordata; Mammalia; Rodentia; Muridae. The record is from RNAcentral.